Molecule: ribosomal RNA, 613 nt
Filed under: Podosphaera xanthii
Lineage: Eukaryota; Fungi; Ascomycota; Leotiomycetes; Helotiales; Erysiphaceae
Description: eukaryotic LSU rRNA
Rfam family: Eukaryotic large subunit ribosomal RNA
Source: RNAcentral
GCAUAUCAAUAAGCGGAGGAAAAGAAACCAACAGGGAUUACCUCAGUAACGGCGAGUGAAGCGGUAACAGCUCAAAUUUGAAAUCUGGCUCCUCGGGGCCCGAAUUGUAAUUUGUAGAAGAUGCUUUGGGUCUGGGCCUGGCCUAAGUUCCUUGGAACAGGACGUCGUAGAGGGUGAGAAUCCCGUAUGCGGCUGGCGCCCGUGCCCGUGUAAAGCUCUUUCAACGAGUCGAGUUGUUUGGGAAUGCAGCUCUAAAUGGGUGGUAAAUUUCAUCUAAAGCUAAAUAUUGGCCAGAGACCGAUAGCGCACAAGUAGAGUGAUCGAAAGAUGAAAAGCACUUUGGAAAGAGAGUUAAACAGUACGUGAAAUUGUUGAAAGGGAAGCGCUGGCAACCAGACUUGGGCGCUGUUGAUCCGCUAGGGUUCUCUCUAGGGCACUCGGCAGUGCGCAGGCCAGCAUCGGUUUGGGGGGUUGGAGAAUGGCUGGUGGAAUGUGGCUGUCUUUGGGCAGUGUUAUAGCCACCGGUGGCAUGCAGCCUCCCCGGACCGAGGACCGCGCUUCGGCUAGGAUGCUGGCGUAAUGGUUGUCAGCGACCCGUCUUGAAACACGGACC